Vespa mandarinia (Asian giant hornet) is the source of this 1308-nucleotide long non-coding RNA. The record is from RefSeq and is a predicted model, not a curated record. NCBI's taxonomy places the organism in Eukaryota, Metazoa, Arthropoda, Insecta, Hymenoptera, Vespidae.
UCCGAUGCCACUCCUACACUUAGCAAAAGACGCAUAAUUUUUAUUUCCUCGUGUCCACCAUAUAGGGAGUCAUCAUAUCAAUGUAAUACGCAUUAAAUAUAAAAUGGGGAUACACCUUUACAUACAUUACAAUCUCUUUAUUAUUCUAAAGGACAAUACAAGUUUUAAGAAACUUAUUUCCAUCAAUCACUAACACCAUUAUAUGACACAUUCGAGCCCGACGUAAAGGGAGUCGUAAAUAAAACAAACUAAUUCUCUUAUAAAACACGCGAUAGUAAGUAAUAGAGAUACCUUAGCGCUUAAGACACUCGUAGUCUUAUAACUAAAAUUCUAUAAAGAGUAUAAUACGAACACAAUGGAAAGGACAGAAAGAGAAAAUGAAAAGGCAGUGAGACACAGAUAUUUUUCAGAUGUAGAAAAGCAGCGUGACACAGAUAUUCCAAAGAGGGAAAGAGGAAGUGGAAAGGAGCGAGAAACAGAAGACGCGGGAUGGAACACUCCGCACGGCUGGAAAUUCUCUUCCCACCAUACACGGAUGCUGCGCUUCUCACCAUGACUGACAACGGCAUUAUCCCCACCACGGUUCACGGCGGCGGUACCUCCACCAGUCUCGGCAGCGGCGGCAUCCCGAGCCGUCUACCGCAGUUCAAUAGAAUAUAUAAGCCGUGCAGAAUGGUUAUUCUGUCUUUUACUUCUCGGAGGUUACCUUCCCUAAAACCUCAAAGUUAUACUUUCGUUAGAGGUGCGUACGACUCGCACGAGCGGAAGAUAACUUCCUACCAAACCUUCUUACUAUUCAGCCUUAAAACCUCAAAGUUAUACUUUCGUUAGCGGUGCGUACGGCUCGCACGAAUGAAUCUUUAUCCUUUCUCCUGAAAUCCUCACGUAUGCCGAGAACGCGUCGUGUCGAUAGGAAGUAUCAUUUGUGCCGGCUUCUCGUGACGUUACAUGAUAUCCAUAUGUACUUCACCUCGGGAUCUAUGGCAACAAGAAAGCGAGCAAGGAAAACGAGGGACCUUACCGCCUCAUUUCGAUUACGUUCAACAGGAAGCCUGUAUCAAUAGUUCAUUUACCACCCCAUGACCCGCGAACACCCAGAUAUUUGAAAAUCGAAGCCGAAUUUAUGGAGAUCGCGAAACAAGGUAAAUGCAUCCUAUAAUUUUUGAAGUGCCGUGUCUCUAAUCAUUCUGUGUGCUUGUGUACCAAUCCCGAACCAAGAACUGCACAUAGCAGAUAAAGUCCAAAAAGGUACUAAUCUCACGACAGGUAGAAGCUUCUCGAAAAACUUCUUUGUAAUAUUUUUUUUUG